Molecule: ribosomal RNA, 445 nt
Filed under: uncultured bacterium
Lineage: Bacteria
Description: partial 16S ribosomal RNA
Rfam family: Bacterial small subunit ribosomal RNA
Source: RNAcentral
GUGAGGAAUAUUGCGCAAUGGAGGCAACUCUGACGCAGCCAUGCCGCGUGCAGGAAGAAGGCGCUACGCGUUGUAAACUGCUUUUAACCGGGAAGAAACCCCAGGACGUGUCCUGGGUUGACGGUACCGGAGGAAUAAGCACCGGCUAACUUCGUGCCAGCAGCCGCGGUAAUACGAAGGGUGCAAGCGUUAUCCUGAUUCAUUGGGUUUAAAGGGUGCGUAGGCGGAGCGUUAAGUCAGUGGUGAAAUCCUGCAGCUUAACUGUAGACUUGCCAUUGAUACUGGCGCUCUUGAGUGCGCUUGAAGUGGGCGGAAUGUGCCGUGUAGCGGUGAAAUGCUUAGAUAUGGCACAGAACACCAAUUGCGAAGGCAGCUCACUAAGGCGAUACUGACGCUGAGGCACGAAAGCGUGGGGAUCGAACAGGAUUAGAAACCCUUGUAGUCC